AAUGAACGCUGGCGGUAUGCUUAACACAUGCAAGUCGAACGGAAUCUUCGGAUUUAGUGGCGGACGGGUGAGUAACGCGUGAGAACCUGCCUUAGAGAUGGGGACAACAGUUGGAAACGACUGCUAAUACCCAAUACGCGGAAACGUGAAAGAUUUAUCGCUUUAAGAGGGGCUCGCGUCCGAUUAGCUAGUUGGUGGGUAAGAGCCUACCAAGGCAGCGAUCGGUAGCUGGUCUGAGAGGACGAGACAGCCACACUGGGACUGAGACACGGCCCAGACUCCUAC
Molecule: ribosomal RNA, 285 nt
Filed under: uncultured bacterium
Lineage: Bacteria
Description: partial 16S ribosomal RNA
Rfam family: Bacterial small subunit ribosomal RNA
Source: RNAcentral